UACAGAGGUCCCAAGCGUUGUUCGGAUUCACUGGGCGUAAAGGGUGCGUAGGCGGUCGGGUAAGUCUGACGUGAAAUCUCCAAGCUCAACUUGGAAAUGGCGUCGGAUACUAUUCGGCUCGAGGAAUGGAGGGGAGACUGGAAUUCUCGGUGUAGCAGUGAAAUGCGUAGAUAUCGAGAGGAAUACCAGUGGCGAAGGCGAGUCUCUGGACAUUUCCUGACGCUGAGGCACGAAAGCCAGGGGAGCAAACGGG
This 253-nucleotide ribosomal RNA is filed under the name uncultured bacterium. Its description in RNAcentral is "partial 16S ribosomal RNA". It matches the Rfam family "Bacterial small subunit ribosomal RNA", at positions 524 to 776 of the family's 1533-position model. The record is from RNAcentral.